GUUGUCUCAUUUGUUGUUCCACACUUCUGUAGCCAUCUUCCAAAAGCUCCUGUCCUCACAAAGAACUGUGUUGUGGGGUUUUUCUUGGGUUAGCAGGCCCUGUCUGUUGUUACACGUCGUUUAUGCAACGGUCGGUCAGGUAAACAAUAACAAAUGAAUUGUUUAAUGUUACCGGGUCAGCCCCCCUUCCGUUUUUGUAUGUCUAGCGCUACACAAAUGAUAUAUUCAAUAGAUGGUCUUAGUCUUUACCGUCGCAACUAACCUCUAGAGGUCUUUUUUUGCUUUAAAUACAUGGGGUAAUAGGGAAAUCUGUUGUAGACACGCAUGAAUCGGACAAACCUCAAGUUCACAAGAAAAGAUUGAAUGUGCUAGGGGUAAUCGACAUGUUUCAGUAAUGCCCACCAGAUGGACGGAAACCGGUAGAGUAUUGGCGAGUCAAGCACCGUGAUCGAGGUAGGUGAUGGGGGUAAGGAUUUAAAUUUUAUUCUUUCUAAUCCAGUUGCAACUUCAGCACCUUCACUUCACUGAGGCUUCUAAUCCAGUUGUGAGGAUCGCAGAAGGCUGAUGACGGCAACAGAGGAGAAAGGUGGAUGAGGUGAUUUCGGAGGCCCGAUGAUGAGGGCAACAAUGAUGGUAAGGUUUUGUUUUGAGGGGUUUUAAUGAAUCAAGAUAGUACCCACAAAUCUUAAUGUGGCUCUCGACUAACAUGGUGAAGAACUUAUUUAUAACUUUUUGUAAAGCUUAUUAAGCAUGUUUUAGAGCUGGGAAGUUUUUUUGAAUAUGUUUAAGUUGUAAAUUAACUAACCAAAACCUGUUACGAAUAUUUACCUUUUUAUUAGCUA
Long non-coding RNA from Helianthus annuus (common sunflower), 842 nucleotides. RefSeq lists it as uncharacterized. Lineage: Eukaryota; Viridiplantae; Streptophyta; Magnoliopsida; Asterales; Asteraceae. The transcript is spliced from 2 exons. The record is from RefSeq and is a predicted model, not a curated record.